UGAGGAGACGGUCGCGCACGGGACCGGCCGGGAGGUUCGCGGCCUUCUGGAAGUUCGUGAGGAGCUUGUCGCGGAUCGCCUCCGCCUCCUCGA
Molecule: transfer RNA, 93 nt
Filed under: Frondihabitans sp. 762G35
Lineage: Bacteria; Bacillati; Actinomycetota; Actinomycetes; Micrococcales; Microbacteriaceae
Description: tRNA-Ala
Source: RNAcentral